GGCAGUGUAGCGUAGUGGUAGGGAGCAGGGCUUGUAACCGAAAGGUUGCCGGUUCAAUUCCCCACUGGGUCA
This is a non-coding RNA of Megalops atlanticus (tarpon), 72 nucleotides long. Lineage: Eukaryota; Metazoa; Chordata; Actinopteri; Elopiformes; Megalopidae. The record is from the annotation of a GenBank genome assembly.